RNAcentral lists this long non-coding RNA (384 nucleotides) under Malus domestica (apple). RNAcentral's name for it is "long non-coding RNA (MDOM_LNC001113)". The record is from RNAcentral. Lineage: Eukaryota; Viridiplantae; Streptophyta; Magnoliopsida; Rosales; Rosaceae.
UUUUUGCAGAAUUCAGCAUACAUUUAUUUGCAGAGGUUUUUACAUACACUGGGAUUCAUCCCCUCUGUGCUCAUAUAUCCGGCCAAAUUCAAACGGGACAACGAUUUCUUGUUGAUCUGGUCAAGUAUUCUUCUUGAUCUGAUCGAAUACUUGACGCUGACCCAUUAGACAAAUGCAACAUAACAUAGCAUAUUAUAUAUAAAAGUUGACUUACACAUACAACUCGUUGACUUACACAUACAAUUUGUUGCCUCUGUUCAUUACAAAAGAAAAGAGAAGAUCUUGUGGGUUAUAUACAACAAACUCACAACACUUAAACCAGCAAACAUGCUGGAGAGGAUCUUUCCUGCAGGCGGAUGCGACUGCAACUGCUGCGACGGUAUU